RNAcentral lists this ribosomal RNA (1491 nucleotides) under metagenome. RNAcentral describes it as "bacterial SSU rRNA". It matches the Rfam family "Bacterial small subunit ribosomal RNA". The record is from RNAcentral.
AGAGUUUGAUCCUGGCUCAGAUUGAACGCUGGCGGCAUGCCUUACACAUGCAAGUCGAACGGCAGCACGAGAGCUUGCUCUUGGUGGCGAGUGGCGAACGGGUGAGUAAUAUAUCGGAACGUACCCUAGAGUGGGGGAUAACGUAGCGAAAGUUACGCUAAUACCGCAUACGAUCUACGGAUGAAAGUGGGGGAUCGCAAGACCUCAUGCUCAUGGAGCGGCCGAUAUCUGAUUAGCUGGUUGGUGGGGUAAAAGCUCACCAAGGCGACGAUCAGUAGCUGGUCUGAGAGGACGACCAGCCACACUGGAACUGAGACACGGUCCAGACUCCUACGGGAGGCAGCAGUGGGGAAUUUUGGACAAUGGGCGCAAGCCUGAUCCAGCAAUGCCGCGUGAGUGAAGAAGGCCUUCGGGUUGUAAAGCUCUUUUGUCAGGGAAGAAACGGUGGACUCUAAUACAGAUCACUAAUGACGGUACCUGAAGAAUAAGCACCGGCUAACUACGUGCCAGCAGCCGCGGUAAUACGUAGGGUGCAAGCGUUAAUCGGAAUUACUGGGCGUAAAGCGUGCGCAGGCGGUUGUGCAAGACAGAUGUGAAAUCCCCGGGCUCAACCUGGGAAUUGCAUUUGUGACUGCACGGCUAGAGUGUGUCAGAGGGGGGUAGAAUUCCACGUGUAGCGGUGAAAUGCGUAGAGAUGUGGAGGAAUACCGAUGGCGAAGGCAGCCCCCUGGGAUAACACUGACGCUCAUGCACGAAAGCGUGGGGAGCAAACAGGAUUAGAUACCCUGGUAGUCCACGCCCUAAACGAUGUCUACUAGUUGUCGGGUCUUAAUUGACUUGGUAACGCAGCUAACGCGUGAAGUAGACCGCCUGGGGAGUACGGUCGCAAGAUUAAAACUCAAAGGAAUUGACGGGGACCCGCACAAGCGGUGGAUGAUGUGGAUUAAUUCGAUGCAACGCGAAAAACCUUACCUACCCUUGACAUGUCUGGAAUCCUUGAGAGAUCAGGGAGUGCUCGAAAGAGAAUCAGAACACAGGUGCUGCAUGGCUGUCGUCAGCUCGUGUCGUGAGAUGUUGGGUUAAGUCCCGCAACGAGCGCAACCCUUGUCAUUAGUUGCUACGAAAGGGCACUCUAAUGAGACUGCCGGUGACAAACCGGAGGAAGGUGGGGAUGACGUCAAGUCCUCAUGGCCCUUAUGGGUAGGGCUUCACACGUCAUACAAUGGUACAUACAGAGGGCCGCCAACCCGCGAGGGGGAGCUAAUCCCAGAAAGUGUAUCGUAGUCCGGAUUGUAGUCUGCAACUCGACUACAUGAAGUUGGAAUCGCUAGUAAUCGCGGAUCAGCAUGUCGCGGUGAAUACGUUCCCGGGUCUUGUACACACCGCCCGUCACACCAUGGGAGCGGGUUUCACCAGAAGUGGGUAGCCUAACCGCAAGGAGGGCGCUCACCACGGUGGGAUUCGUGACUGGGGUGAAGUCGUAACAAGGUA